Molecule: ribosomal RNA, 373 nt
Filed under: uncultured organism
Description: partial 16S ribosomal RNA
Rfam family: Bacterial small subunit ribosomal RNA
Source: RNAcentral
GUAGGUGGCAAGCGUUGUCCGGAAUUAUUGGGCGUAAAGCGCGCGCAGGCGGUUCUUUAAGUCUGAUGUGAAAGCCCACGGCUCAACCGUGGAGGGUCAUUGGAAACUGGAGAACUUGAGUACAGAAGAGGAAAGCGGAAUUCCACGUGUAGCGGUGAAAUGCGUAGAGAUGUGGAGGAACACCAGUGGCGAAGGCGGCUUUCUGGUCUGUAACUGACGCUGAGGCGCGAAAGCGUGGGGAGCAAACAGGGAUUAGAUACCCUGGUAGUCCACGCCGUAAACGAUGAGUGCUAAGUGUUAGGGGGUUUCCGCCCCCCUUAGUGCUGCAGCUAACGCAUUAAGCACUCCGCCUGGGGAUACGGCCGCAAGGCUG